AGAGUUUGAUCCUGGCUCAGAGCGAACGCUGGCGGCAGGCUUAACACAUGCAAGUCGAGCGGGCGUAGCAAUACGUCAGCGGCAGACGGGUGAGUAACGCGUGGGAACGUACCUUUUGGUUCGGAACAACACAGGGAAACUUGUGCUAAUACCGGAUAAGCCCUUACGGGGAAAGAUUUAUCGCCGAAAGAUCGGCCCGCGUCUGAUUAGCUAGUUGGUGAGGUAAUGGCUCACCAAGGCGACGAUCAGUAGCUGGUCUGAGAGGAUGAUCAGCCACAUUGGGACUGAGACACGGCCCAAACUCCUACGGGAGGCAGCAGUGGGGAAUAUUGGACAAUGGGGGCAACCCUGAUCCAGCCAUGCCGCGUGAGUGAUGAAGGCCCUAGGGUUGUAAAGCUCUUUUGUGCGGGAAGAUAAUGACGGUACCGCAAGAAUAAGCCCCGGCUAACUUCGUGCCAGCAGCCGCGGUAAUACGAAGGGGGCUAGCGUUGCUCGGAAUCACUGGGCGUAAAGGGUGCGUAGGCGGGUCUUUAAGUCAGGGGUGAAAUCCUGGAGCUCAACUCCAGAACUGCCUUUGAUACUGAGGAUCUUGAGUUCGGGAGAGGUGAGUGGAACUGCGAGUGUAGAGGUGAAAUUCGUAGAUAUUCGCAAGAACACCAGUGGCGAAGGCGGCUCACUGGCCCGAUACUGACGCUGAGGCACGAAAGCGUGGGGAGCAAACAGGAUUAGAUACCCUAGUAGUCC
Molecule: ribosomal RNA, 744 nt
Filed under: uncultured bacterium
Lineage: Bacteria
Description: bacterial SSU rRNA
Rfam family: Bacterial small subunit ribosomal RNA
Source: RNAcentral